GUUUUAUAGCUCAAUACAUAAGCAAACGGCUUGCGCUCUUUUUUAAGUGGCGUCCAGCAGGUCGAUCACAAUCGUGCGCAAUGAGUUAACAGCCGUUUGUUCAUUAAACAUCAUCCCAUUCGUGUACCACUAUUUUCGUUGAGAAGAAGUGCUCAGUGUGGCAUAAUUUUAAUGAAAUACACAAUGAGAUUCAAGUUUUGCUGUGUGAUUCUGAUGACACUAGUGAUCAAUUCGAGAUCAGCCCCACAGAUAAACUUCAACCAACAGGACUCCGGUUCAGAAUCGAUGGAGUUGCACGAUGAAAUGAUGGUAGGAUGUGGUUACUCUCCCACCAUGGUUGUCUCACCCGUCAUUGAAACACCGCAACCCUCUUCGAUAAUACAACAUGAUAAGCCGAAAUCAACCGUGAAGCCUGUUUACAGCGUGAAACGCAAUUAAUCGCAUCGCAAAGCAGACUUUAUUUAUAGCACUAUGACAAAUGUUUUUCAAACAGGUUCACUCUAUUUUGUUUACAUUAGGCGUAUCUUUAGAAGUAAAUUGUGUCUGCGGAGAUCGCUCAAUAAGAUCGUCCGGCGAUAGAAAA
This is a long non-coding RNA of Toxorhynchites rutilus septentrionalis, 583 nucleotides long. RefSeq lists it as uncharacterized. NCBI's taxonomy places the organism in Eukaryota, Metazoa, Arthropoda, Insecta, Diptera, Culicidae. The record is from RefSeq and is a predicted model, not a curated record. The transcript is spliced from 2 exons.